RNAcentral lists this ribosomal RNA (520 nucleotides) under Hauffenia lozekiana. RNAcentral's name for it is "Hauffenia sp. l MH-2021 partial large subunit ribosomal RNA". It matches the Rfam family "Bacterial large subunit ribosomal RNA", at positions 1809 to 2606 of the family's 2925-position model. Lineage: Eukaryota; Metazoa; Mollusca; Gastropoda; Littorinimorpha; Hydrobiidae. The record is from RNAcentral.
AAAAACAUGGCUCUUUGUCCAUUUAAUAUAAAGAGUCGAACCUGCCCAGUGAUUCAAUUUAACGGCCGCGGUACUCUGACCGUGCAAAGGUAGCAUAAUCAUUUGCCUUAUAAUUGAAGGCUAGUAUGAAUGGUUUAACAAGAAUAGCACUGUCUCUAUAUAAAUUUUAUAGAAUUUGGUUUUUAGGUGAAGAAACCUAAAUAAAAUUGAAAGACAAGAAGACCCUAUCGAGCUUGAAAUAAUUUUUCUGAGACUUAUAUUAAAACUAAUUUCAUGAAAAAAUUUUGGUUGGGGCGACUAAGGAACAUUUAAAGCUUCCUAUAAAAUAUAUAAACCUAUAUGUUUUGAUCCAAAAAUUUUGAUUAACAGAAUUAGUUACCGUAGGGAUAACAGCAUAAUCUUUUUUAAGAGUUCUUAUCGAAAAAAAGGUUUGUGACCUCGAUGUUGGACUAGGAUACCCAGAAAGGUGCAGAAGCCUUCAAUGGUUGGUCUGUUCGACCACUAAUAUCCUACGUGAUCU